RNAcentral lists this ribosomal RNA (471 nucleotides) under uncultured bacterium. RNAcentral's name for it is "SSU rRNA". It matches the Rfam family "Bacterial small subunit ribosomal RNA", at positions 26 to 518 of the family's 1533-position model. The record is from RNAcentral.
AGGACGAACGCUGGCGGCGUGCUUAACACAUGCAAGUCGAGCGGAAAGGCCCUUCGGGGUACUCGAGCGGCGAACGGGUGAGUAACACGUGAGCAACCUGCCCUUAGCUUCGGGAUAGCUCCGGGAAACCGGAAUUAAUACCGGAUAUGACUAUGGCCGACAUCAGCCAUGGUGGAAAGUUUUUCGGCUAGGGAUGGACUCGCGGCCUAUCAGCUAGUUGGUGAGGUAACGGCUCACCAAGGCGACGACGGGUAGCCGGCCUGAGAGGGCGACCGGCCACACUGGGACUGAGACACGGCCCAGACUCCUACGGGAGGCAGCAGUGGGGAAUAUUGCGCAAUGGGCGAAAGCCUGACGCAGCGACGCCGCGUGGGGGAUGAAUGCCUUCGGGUUGUAAACCCUUUCAGCAGGGACGAAGCGAAAGUGACGGUACCUGCAGAAGAAGCGCGGCUACUACGUGCCAGCAGCCGC